AUACGGAGGGUGCGAGCGUUAAUCGGAAUUACUGGGCGUAAAGCGUGCGUAGGCGGUUUGCUAAGUCAGAUGUGAAAGCCCCGGGCUUAACCUGGGAACUGCAUUUGAUACUGGCAGACUAGAGUAUGCUAGAGGGGGGUAGAAUUCCUGGUGUAGCGGUGAAAUGCGUAGAUAUCAGGAGGAAUACCAGUGGCGAAGGCGGCCCCCUGGAUCAAUACUGACGCUGAGGUACGAAAGCGUGGGGAGCGAACAGAAUUAGAUACCCCAGUAGUCC
Molecule: ribosomal RNA, 274 nt
Filed under: uncultured bacterium
Lineage: Bacteria
Description: partial 16S ribosomal RNA
Rfam family: Bacterial small subunit ribosomal RNA
Source: RNAcentral